RNAcentral lists this unclassified non-coding RNA (60 nucleotides) under synthetic construct. The record is from RNAcentral.
CAUAUCUGGUUGGUUUGCUACGCAAUCAGUGGAGAACUCUCAUGUUAAUACGAUCUUUCC